Parus major (Great Tit) is the source of this 1917-nucleotide long non-coding RNA. Lineage: Eukaryota; Metazoa; Chordata; Aves; Passeriformes; Paridae. The record is from Ensembl.
CUGCCAUCUUCCCACCCUGCAGCACCCACAGAAAGCCAAACAUGGAUUUGGGAAUCACUCUAAAACCCUAUGGCUUGGUUUGGACCUGUGACCAAGCCACACCACCCUCCAUACCUGCUGGCUCUGCAGGUCCCCAGUGCCUGAGGGCAGUGAUUUGGGUCAUUUUCCUGCAUUUGUCCACCUUUCCCAGGAGUUUCUCAGAGUCCAGAUGCCCCAGGGGUGCAGCAGGAUCUUUUUUUCCCCCAGACAUUUUGGAGAGCAUCACCCUCCCAGCCCAGCCCUCCACAGUCAAAUAUCCUUGGGAUGCCUCCGAGCAGCGUCCCUUACCCCCGGAGCUGCCAAAGCAAUGGGAAGUCCCUUGAAGAGAGGUUUGAUGUGGCAGCUUGGAGCUGAUAAGCCAUUGAUUUCUUCUCCUUUUUGGGCUGGAGGAGAUUGUCAGCCCAGGGAGACGAUAGCGAGGCAGGGAUGAUAACAGCACAGGCUGCUGGAGGAUCCUGGCAGGCAGCUCCUGCAGCCCAGGGUGGGAUGUCCAGACAAAAACACGCUUCAAUUUCUCUUCCCAGACUGAGACAUCCCAGAUAAAACCCUUAUCUGGCCUUCUCUCCAAUCAAUGAGAUGCUUCAGCCUCGCUCAGAGCGCGGCAGGGCAGCAACAGCUUUAUCAGGCCGGGCAGGGAUGGGGAGUUUGUCCCCCCAGAGGUGCCUCGGUGUGUCCCUGGCACGGUGGCACUGCCAGCCUGCAGCUCCAGGGAGGAUGAAGAUGCCAACCCAGCCCAGCCCGGAGAUGCCUCCACGGGGAAUUCAUCGAGGCAAAGGUGAACACCUCCAGCUCUCCCAGAGCAGAGGGGCUCCAGCCCUGGCAUCCACUCUGUGUCCUCCUCCUCUCAUUCCAACAGUUCCAGGUCCUUCUGGAGCGACACAACCUGAGAUUGGUUCCAUCACCUUGAGGGACCCCACAACACCUGCAAGUCAUCUCUGCACAGAUCAGCCUCAUCAGCCUUGCUGUAAUUAGGAGCUGUUUAAGCCUCGGGUUGAGGCUUCAGUAAUGGGUUUGAGGGAUCCAACUCCACCACAACACCACUAAUGACACUCUGUAAUUAGCAAAUAUGCAAAGGAUCUCAUUUUGGGGAGUUUCCUCUUUGGACAAGGGGAAGUUGCGGGAUGGUGGAGGUGGGAUCAAGGGCCAGGGCACAGGGAAUGGAUUCCCAUGGGCAGGGAGGGAGAGCUGGGAUGUUGGGAAGGAAUUCCUGGCUGUGAGGAUGGUGAGGACCUGGCACAGUUAUCCCAUGGCUGCUCCAUCCCACAUAAACCCACAGAAUCCCCCAUAAAGAACCCAAGGCCUGCUUGGAGCAAGCUGGGAUAGCAGAAGGUGGCCCUGCCAUAAACUCCAUGAUCUUUAUGUUCCCCAGCACAUUCCCUGAUUCCCUGUCAGGAAUCCCAAGAGGAUGCCAAACUCCUUAUUUAUGUGUUCAAGCUUUUAUUUAACCUCCCUCAUACUUAGGAUUUUAGCUUUUAUAUUUUUCAAAUCCUGUACUGCAUUAGUGUGUAACUCUGAACGCCACACAAAGUGUUCACAUUUGUUUUCACAUUUCGGUCAAACAAAACAAUCCCUCUCAGCCUGAAAUUCAAGGGAGUGAAUUCAUUAAUUCAGGUGACUUCAUUACCUGAAGCUGUAAUUGGAGAAUGUAAAUGGACUAAACUUAUAAUUGUGUGAAAAAGUCAUGACCACUGUUCAUCUUGGGAUACUUUUGUACCUAUUGAAGGCCUUUAGGAAAUACCUGUUGGAGUCAGAGGCACAGAGUAUGUGCCCUUAUCUCUAAUACCUAACUCUGACACCCAAGAAAACACUGAAUUUCAUAUAACACAGUAAAAGUAAUUGUUAAAUAAAAAAACUAAGAGUGCAAGUGUGUAAAUUUGA